AUCCUACGGGACGCAGCAGUGGGGAAUAUUGCACAAUGGGGGGAACCCUGAUGCAGCGACGCCGCGUGGGUGAAGGAGCACCUCGGUGCGUAAAGCCCUAUCGGCAGGGAAGAAAAGCGAACAGGUUCGCCUGGACGGUACCUGACUAAGAAGCCCCGGCUAACUACGUGCCAGCAGCCGCGGGAAUACGUAGGGGGCAAGCGUUAUCCGGAUUCACUGGGUGUAAAGGGGGCGUAGACGGCGACGCAAGUCUGGAGUGAAAGCACGGGGCCCAACCCCGGAACGGCUCUGGAAACU
This 297-nucleotide ribosomal RNA is filed under the name uncultured bacterium. RNAcentral describes it as "partial 16S ribosomal RNA". It matches the Rfam family "Bacterial small subunit ribosomal RNA", at positions 335 to 634 of the family's 1533-position model. The record is from RNAcentral.